AUUGAACGCUAACGGCGUGCUUAACACAUGCAAGUCGAACGGCAGCACAGUAUGUAGCAAUACAUAUGGGUGGCGAGUGGCGGACGGGUGAGUAAUACGUAGGAAUCUACCUUGUAGUGGGGGAUAACCCGGGGAAACUCGGGCUAAUACCGCAUAAUCAUUACGAAGCAAAGAGGGCCUCUGAAUAUGCUCUUGCUAAAAGAUGAGCCUACGUCGGAUUAGCUAGUUGGUGGGGUAAAGGCCUACCAAGGCGACGAUCUGUAGCUGGUCUGAGAGGAUGAUCAGCCACUCUGGGACUGAGACACGGCCCAGACUCCUACGGGAGGCAGCAGUGGGGAAUAUUGGACAAUGGGCGAAAGCCUGAUCCAGCAACGCCGUGUGUGUGAAGAAGGCCUUAGGGUUGUAAGCACUUUCAGUGGGGAAGAAAAGUUCAAGGCUAAUACCCUUGAAUCUUGACGUUACCCACAGAAGAAGCACUGGCUAACUCUGUGCCAGCCGCCGCAGUAA
This 507-nucleotide ribosomal RNA is filed under the name uncultured bacterium. Its description in RNAcentral is "partial 16S ribosomal RNA". It matches the Rfam family "Bacterial small subunit ribosomal RNA", at positions 30 to 523 of the family's 1533-position model. The record is from RNAcentral.